RNAcentral lists this ribosomal RNA (780 nucleotides) under Physocyclus lyncis. RNAcentral describes it as "partial large subunit ribosomal RNA". The stretch from base 507 to 780 matches the Rfam family "Eukaryotic large subunit ribosomal RNA", at positions 665 to 919 of the family's 3401-position model. Lineage: Eukaryota; Metazoa; Arthropoda; Arachnida; Araneae; Pholcidae. The record is from RNAcentral.
GAAGAGAGAGUUCAAGAGUACGUGAAACUGCUCAGAGGUAAACGGGUGGGCCCUCGAAAUCCUUCCGCGGAGGGAUUCAGUCGGAAUCGGCAGGUUCCGGCGCCGCGGACUACGGACCUCGUAGGCCGGGCGGAGCCGGAGAACCGAAGAGUCCGACGCACUUCCCUCCGCGCCACGGACGCCGCAACCGGUCGGGUAGCAGCGAGAGUCGGCCAUGAGGGUCCCCGCCGGCAGGUGGCCGGGGAACCUGCCCCGGCAGAGUUUCCCGGUCGUUAGCCAGGGGACGCCGCGGCGCGACACCCGACCGAGGCCGAGGUUCGCCUCGAGGCGAACCAGCCGUGCCCUGAAUCAGCGGGGCCCGCGUCACGCGCGUCGCCGAGGAGAAGCGUCACUCCGAGAGUGGUCGGCUCCCGGCGGACGCGGCUGGACGGGGCGCGCCCGCGGUCAGGCACCCACGGUUGGCGGCGAGCAGGUCGGUCACCCACCCGACCCGUCUUGAAACACGGACCAAGGAGUCUAACAUGUGCGCGAGUCACGGGGUCUUGCCCAGGCCCAGGGGCGCAAUGAAAGUGACAGCAUAAAUCGUCGGGACUCCGGCCCCGGAGCUCGGAAGCACCGACGGCCCGUCCGAACCGCCGCGCGCGGUCGGGCGGAGUCGGAGCGCACACGUUGGGACCCGAAAGAUGGUGAACUAUGCCCGGGCAGAACGAAGCCAGAGGAAACUCUGGUGGAGGUUCGCAGCGGUUCUGACGUGCAAAUCGAUCGUCAGACCCGGGUAUA